UCGCAACUUGCCAAUUUAUUUUUAACAUCUUAAGUAUCUUUGGAAAUAAUAUAAGGAAAAUAAUAGAGAGGGGAAAUUUAUUUAAAAUUAUUAGUGGAAGUUACAUUGGUCCGGAUGAUGCAUGUGGGAACUGUGGGACUAGAGAACCUGCAGGCUACAGUUAAAUGGUUUGAUUUAGUGAUAACAGUUCACUAAAAGCAAGAGUGCUUUUGUAUAUAAACCCAAAAAGUUAGAAUACUUUACAUGUCUUCUAAUGUGGGUUGCCUGCACGAAACAUCUCAUUUCUUAUCUUACUUUCUUCAGCAUUAAUUAUGGGACUAGUGAGUCUGGUGCCACAUAACUGGGUCUCAAGAAGAUGUAUUGACUAUCCAUAUUUGAGCCCAAAUACUGGUUGGAAUCUAAUAGGCCUAACUUUGAGCCAAUUCAGAUGCUCUUUCAUUGAAUCGUUCACGAUCUUCAUUGUCUCGGAUUAUAAUACUUGAAGAGAUUGAUCACCAAGGCAAUCAGCAACAAGAGCAUACGACAUACAAACGACCGAACAAUUCAUUUCAUGAACCAUGGCUAUGACUUAUGAGCCCUGCAUGUUACUUUGUUUCAUUUACAGUAUUCUACUAUUUUACGUUUGAAAAAGAUACUAUAACAUAAUAUAGUUAAACAUAUGGCAGUGUAUUGAAACAAGCAUGUUAUGAGUCUUAUAAGUUAUUACUUACGAGACACAUGUGAUACUGGUUGCUUAGUC
This 739-nucleotide long non-coding RNA is filed under the name Brassica rapa (field mustard). RNAcentral's name for it is "long non-coding RNA (BRAP_LNC002302)". Lineage: Eukaryota; Viridiplantae; Streptophyta; Magnoliopsida; Brassicales; Brassicaceae. The record is from RNAcentral.